Molecule: ribosomal RNA, 627 nt
Filed under: uncultured bacterium
Lineage: Bacteria
Description: partial 16S ribosomal RNA
Source: RNAcentral
UCCCAUUGCCGGAUGGUUCCGCUUCUGCCCAUCGACCAGACUCUCCUACUAGUCGGUGUGACCGUGACCUUGUGCCCGGUCUGAGGAUGCCCUCCGUCGUCACUCCUUAUAACCCGUUACCCGCGUUCGGACUGGGUCGGUGCGGCGCACUCACUACUUCCGGAAGCCCAACAUUUCGAGACACCCCUCCCUUCUUUUUGAACCCAAGCUUAUCCCGAGCUCCAACUGCCAUGGAGGAAUCGUUCGUGGCCGAUUGAGACACGGUCGUCGGCGCCAUUCUGUCUCCCACGUUUGCAACGAGCCUUAGUGACCCGCAUUUCCCGCGCAUCCGCCUAGCCCUUCAGCCCACACUUUAGGGACCCGAGUUGGAUCCUUGACGUAAGCUUUGAGGGCCAGAUCUCACUGCCUCUCCUUUCGCCUUAAGGGCCACAUCUCCACUUUAAGCAUCUAUAGCCCUCCUUGUGGUCUCCGCUUCCGCCGAAAGACCUGCAACUGACUGCGACUCCGCGCUUUCGCACCCCUCGUUUGUCCUAAUCUAUGGGACCAUCAGGUGCGGCAUUUGCUACCCGUGAUCCACAGCGCUGCUACUGGCAACGCCGCGGCAUCGAUUGCGUGAUUCACGGGGCG